GCGGAGCUGUUCUAACCUGGCAUGAAGCGUCCUUGCCAUGGACGAAAUCCGAGUUCAAAUCUCGGGCUCCGCA
This 73-nucleotide transfer RNA is filed under the name Haloarcula vallismortis. Its description in RNAcentral is "tRNA_Gly_GCC". RNAcentral also lists the same sequence under 1 other name. Lineage: Archaea; Methanobacteriati; Methanobacteriota; Halobacteria; Halobacteriales; Haloarculaceae. The record is from RNAcentral.